This 1401-nucleotide long non-coding RNA is filed under the name Salvator merianae (Argentine black and white tegu). RNAcentral describes it as "lncRNA (ENSSMRG00000001600.1)". Lineage: Eukaryota; Metazoa; Chordata; Lepidosauria; Squamata; Teiidae. The record is from RNAcentral.
CGCGCCGUCGCCCCCCGAGUGGUUGAGCUUCUUCGCGGAGGGAGGGAGUUUCCCGCCUCCGUCCCGUCGCUGUUGCGGUCUCUCUCGGCCGCCCGCGCGCGCAUGGGGAGGGAGGGCGGAGGGAGCAACCUCUCGGGUAUAAAGCGCUUCUUGCCGUGGCCCUUCGCGCACCAGACCUUGCGAAGAGAAGGAUGUCUCCGUCCGCAGGCCCGGCACCGACCGCAACCGGCUUCCUCUUGGCCCUGCUCUGCAGUUAUGCCUGCUUCCGAGGGGCAGAUUCGGCUCCCAAACAUCGCCCCGGCAUCGACUCUUCCCUCCGGUUCAAGCCUUCCUUGGGGCAAAGGCUGGUNGUCUCCUGCGAGGGCCACUCCACGUACCUGGACAGCGGCAUCAUCUACUGGCUGGCCAACGGCUCCUUCGUGGAAGAGCUCUACAAGGAGGGGGCCGUGAAGGAGGGGGAGCCCGAGGAAAAGUUUGAAGACAACUCCGUUUUCCUCAAACGGACGCUGACCUUCCGCUCCUUCUCGGAAAAGGACCGGGACACAACAUUUCAGUGCAUUGUCAUGGAUCCUUCCGGCCGAUCUCAGAAAACCGUCACCUGGGAAUCUAAGGAGCCACAGAGGAAAAGGACGGCUCAAGGCACCAACGACAGCGGGAGUGGGGUAUCAGAAGGCUACUGAGCCUGUUGAAGCCAGCGGUUGCCUCAUCUCGUUGGACCGCGGAAGAAGCAGUCCCACCCACGACCGUGAUUGAUGGAUAAGAACACUUUGAGAUUUCUGAAAUUCUGGACUCCAGAUGUUCCCGUAAUAAGUUGCAAUACUUCAUUCACUGGAAGCACUGGCUGCCUGCCCAGUGGGUUAACGCAGAAGAUGACAGGGCUGCUAAACUGCUUAAAAAGCUCCAUGAAAAUUGCCCUGAUAAACCAGGGCCAACAUGAUUUGUUCACCAUAAAUNUUUUUUUGCUGCAUUAUUGUCUCAUACACUGUAUUCAUGUUUUAGUGCACAUCAUGUAAGCAUAUAUUCUGCUCAUGUAUUCCUUUGCUGGUUCAUCUAUUCACGUAUUACUUUUUAGUUACUCAUUUGUGCCUGUAUGCCCUUCUUUAUUCAUGUACGCUGGUACUCAUGUUAUUUGUCUUGGGGGACCAUGUCAGGACUGUAUAUUCUUGCCCUUAUAUUGAGAGGUCACUGAAGCACUUGUGGGAUGAAAUGGAGACGGAGGAUUGCGAGUACGGAGGUUCCCAGGGGAAGCUGAGACAAGAAAGAACGUGGAGAGAGUAAGGGAGACAAGAAAUUACGUAGUCUUUACUUUGUAUGAGUCACUUUUGGUUACGGAUGUUGCUCUGUGCCACGGUUACUGGAGUUUNGAAUAAAAGAUUUCUUCUAAAUUGAAAGAAGUGGUUU